GUUGCAGAGAUGAGCUUCUCUAUGAAUCGAAAGAAGACUCCUUUUCAGAAGCAUCGAGAAGAGGAAGAAGCCAAGAAGAAGAGAGCUGAGAAUGAGACUGCUCGAUUGUAUGCUGAAUUUGUGGAGUCAUUUCAAGCGAAUGAUGAGCCUGGUUCAAAGCCUUCUGUUAGAGGAGGGUUGAUUAAUCCAAAU
Molecule: long non-coding RNA, 192 nt
Organism: Asparagus officinalis (garden asparagus)
Lineage: Eukaryota; Viridiplantae; Streptophyta; Magnoliopsida; Asparagales; Asparagaceae
Exons: 2
Source: RefSeq, a predicted model, not a curated record